GUUGUUGUUCUUCUCUCCUCUCCACACUGUUGCUCGAAUUGAAGGCAUGCAAUGGAAUGUAAGACAGGAGCAACGACAAAGAGGCCUAAUGUGUGGGAUGAAUUUAAGAAAACUUUUGUUCAUGUAGGGGAUCCUCCCGUGGAAGUUAGAAAAGGAAAAUGUAAGAUGUGUGACAAGUUGAUCGCUGCUGAUUUGAAGUUGAACGACACCUCUGCAAUGUGGAAACAUCAUGCUUUCGUGUUUGAAGAAACAACAAGUUGGAAAGACUCAAAUGAAGCUUAACCAAGAAGGAUCGGGGCCCCUUAUUAGUUGGAGAUUCAAUCAAACUUAGUCUAGGAUAGCUUUAUGCAAGUAUAUUAUCCUUGAUGAACUUUCCUUCAGAGACGUGGAGAAAGAAGGAUUCAAAAUUUUCAUGGCAGAAAUAUGCCCUAUGUUCCAAAUCCCGAGCAAAUAUACGGUACGAGCUGAUUGCGUGAAGAUGUUUUUGCAGCAGAAGGAAUAGUGAGACGCCUUCGAUUGCUUGAAGUGAAGUGUAAAUGUUGAUGAUUGCGAUUUUUGAGUAUUACUUUGAUGGAUGAUGAUGGUUUAUAUUGAUUUUAGACCUUUUAGUUUGAUGAAUGAUGAUGGUUUACAUUGGAUUUAAA
Molecule: non-coding RNA, 644 nt
Organism: Salvia hispanica
Lineage: Eukaryota; Viridiplantae; Streptophyta; Magnoliopsida; Lamiales; Lamiaceae
Source: RefSeq, a predicted model, not a curated record